Molecule: transfer RNA, 73 nt
Filed under: Boldia erythrosiphon
Lineage: Eukaryota; Rhodophyta; Compsopogonophyceae; Compsopogonales; Boldiaceae
Description: tRNA-Val
Rfam family: tRNA
About the family: Transfer RNA (tRNA) molecules are approximately 80 nucleotides in length.
Source: RNAcentral
GGGCGGUUAGCUCAGUUGGUAGAGCCUCUGUCUUACAAACAGGCGGUCACUGGUUCGAGUCCAGUACCGCCCA